GUCCCCCUUCAUUUUCCAUGGAGAAUACUGAAGGGCAGUCUUAUUUCCUGCUGCAGUAAUAGAGGCACUAAGUUCAAGUGAUGUCUGCAGCUCCUCAACUGAGUGAUAUUUGCAGAGAUGUGUUUGGAUCUGCCCUGUCCUAAUGCCUCCCAACUCCAGCAAAAGAAACUAUCAACAAAAUGAAAAGGCAACCUGUGGAAUGGGAGAAAAUAUUUGCAAACCACACAUCUUAUAAGGGGUGAAUAUCCAAAAUAUAUAAGGAACGCAUAUAGCUCAGUAGCAAAAAACCAAACAAUCCUAUUAAAAAAUGGGCAAAGGACAUGAAUAGACAUUUUUCCAAAGAAGACAUUCAAAUGGCCAACAAGCACAUGAAAAGAUGCUCAACAUCACUGAUCAUCAGGGAAAUGCAAAUCAAAACUACACUGAGAUAUCAACUCACACCUUGGGAAUGACUAUCAUGAAGUAGACAAGAAGGAAAAA
Molecule: long non-coding RNA, 480 nt
Filed under: Equus caballus (horse)
Lineage: Eukaryota; Metazoa; Chordata; Mammalia; Perissodactyla; Equidae
Description: lncRNA (ENSECAG00000052958.1)
Source: RNAcentral